This 64-nucleotide transfer RNA is filed under the name Cirroctopus glacialis. RNAcentral's name for it is "tRNA-Cys". Lineage: Eukaryota; Metazoa; Mollusca; Cephalopoda; Octopoda; Opisthoteuthidae. The record is from RNAcentral.
AACUAUAUAUUUUAAAUAAAAUAUUAAAUUGCAAAUUUAAUGAUACAGUAAAUCGUUAUAGUUU